AGUCACUGACAUUAGAUACCCCCGUAGUCCAGGGUGUAAACGCUGCAGACUUGGUGUUGGAAGUCCUUUGGGGGCAUUCAGUGCCGGAGAGAAGUUGUUAAGUCUGCUACUUGGGGAGUACGUCCGCAAGGAUGAAACUUAAAGGAAUUGGCGGGGGAGCACCGCAACGGGAGGAGCGUGCGGUUUAAUUGGAUUCAACGACCGAAAAACUCACCAGCAGCGACUGUUACAUGAAAGUCAGGUUAAUGACCUUACUAGAUUUUCAG
This 266-nucleotide ribosomal RNA is filed under the name uncultured archaeon. Its description in RNAcentral is "partial 16S ribosomal RNA". It matches the Rfam family "Archaeal small subunit ribosomal RNA", at positions 718 to 982 of the family's 1478-position model. The record is from RNAcentral.